RNAcentral lists this ribosomal RNA (419 nucleotides) under Thalassospira sp. enrichment culture clone NPHTC-022. RNAcentral's name for it is "bacterial SSU rRNA". It matches the Rfam family "Bacterial small subunit ribosomal RNA", at positions 17 to 455 of the family's 1533-position model. Lineage: Bacteria; Pseudomonadati; Pseudomonadota; Alphaproteobacteria; Rhodospirillales; Thalassospiraceae. The record is from RNAcentral.
UUAUGGCUCAGAACGAACGCUGGCGGCAGGCCUAACACAUGCAAGUCGGACGAGAAGGUUCCUUCGGGAACUGGAGAGUGGCGCACGGGUGAGUAACGCGUGGGGACCUACCUCUUAGUGGGGGAUAACGGUUGGAAACGACCGCUAAUACCGCAUACGCCCUUCGGGGGAAAGAUUUAUCGCUAAGAGAUGGACCCGCGUUGGAUUAGAUAGUUGGUGAGGUAACGGCUCACCAAGUCAGCGAUCCAUAGCUGGUUUGAGAGGAUGAUCAGCCACACUGGGACUGAGACACGGCCCAGACUCCUACGGGAGGCAGCAGUGGGGAAUAUUGGACAAUGGGGGCAACCCUGAUCCAGCCAUGCCGCGUGAGUGAAGAAGGCCUUCGGGUUGUAAAGCUCUUCAGAUGCGAAGAUGAUGAC